RNAcentral lists this ribosomal RNA (507 nucleotides) under uncultured bacterium. RNAcentral describes it as "partial 16S ribosomal RNA". It matches the Rfam family "Bacterial small subunit ribosomal RNA", at positions 28 to 507 of the family's 1533-position model. The record is from RNAcentral.
GACGAACGCUGGCGGCGUGCCUAAUACAUGCAAGUCGAACGCAUUUUCUUUCACCGUAGCUUGCUACACCGAAAGAAAAUGAGUGGCGAACGGGUGAGUAACACGUGGGUAACCUGCCCAUCAGCGGGGGAUAACACUUGGAAACAGGUGCUAAUACCGCAUAAUUCCAUUUACUGCAUGGUAGAUGGAUGAAAGGCGCUUUUGCGUCACUGAUGGAUGGACCCGCGGUGCAUUAGCUAGUUGGUGGGGUAACGGCCUACCAAGGCUGCGAUGCAUAGCCGACCUGAGAGGGUGAUCGGCCACACUGGGACUGAGACACGGCCCAGACUCCUACAGGAGGCAGCAGUAGGGAAUCUUCGGCAAUGGACGCAAGUCUGACCGAGCAACGCCGCGUGAGUGGAGAAGGUUUUCGGAUCGUAAAACUCUGUUGUUAGAAAAGAACAAGGAUGAGAGUGGAAAGUUCAUCCCUUGACGGUAUCUAACCAGAAAGCCACGGCUAACUACGUG